RNAcentral lists this ribosomal RNA (467 nucleotides) under uncultured bacterium. Its description in RNAcentral is "partial 16S ribosomal RNA". It matches the Rfam family "Bacterial small subunit ribosomal RNA", at positions 28 to 506 of the family's 1533-position model. The record is from RNAcentral.
GACGAACGCUGGCGGCGUGCUUAACACAUGCAAGUCGAACGGAAAGGCCCUGCUUUUGUGGGGUGCUCGAGUGGCGAACGGGUGAGUAACACGUGAGUAACCUGCCCUUGACUUUGGGAUAACUUCAGGAAACUGGGGCUAAUACCGGAUAGGAGCUCCUGCUGCAUGGUGGGGGUUGGAAAGUUUCGGCGGUUGGGGAUGGACUCGCGGCUUAUCAGCUUGUUGGUGGGGUAGUGGCUUACCAAGGCUUUGACGGGUAGCCGGCCUGAGAGGGUGACCGGCCACAUUGGGACUGAGAUACGGCCCAGACUCCUACGGGAGGCAGCAGUGGAGAAUAGUGCACAAUGGGCGGAAGCCUGAUGCAGCAACGCCGCGUGCGGGAUGACGGCCUUCGGGUUGUAAAACGCUUUCACCUGUGACGAAGCGUGAGUGACGGUAAUGGGUAAAGAAGCACCGGCUAACUACGU